GGAGGAAAAGAAACCAACAGGGAUUGCCUCAGUAACGGCGAGUGAAGCGGCAAAAGCUCAAAUUUGGAAUCUGGCACUUUCAGUGUCCGAGUUGUAAUUUGAAGACCGGUGCUUUGGGAGCAGGAGGUGUCGAAGUUCCUUGGAACAGGACGUCGCAGAGGGUGAGAAUCCCGUGCGAUACCUCUUCUUGCUUCUUUGUAAAGCCUGGUCGAAGAGUCGAGUUGUUUGGGAAUGCAGCUCUAAGUGGGUGGUAAAUUCCAUCUAAAGCUAAAUACUGGCGAGAGACCGAUAGCGAACAAGUACAGUGAUGGAAAGAUGAAAAGAACUUUGAAAAGAGAGUGAAAAAGUACGUGAAAUUGUUGAAAGGGAAGGGCUUGAGAUCAGACUUGGUUACCUCGGUGACCAGGCCAGCAUCAGGUGGCGGGGUGACAUAACGCGGAAGGAAUGUGGCUUUGCUUCGGUGAAGUGUUAUA
This 473-nucleotide ribosomal RNA is filed under the name Hyphopichia pseudoburtonii. RNAcentral describes it as "eukaryotic LSU rRNA". It matches the Rfam family "Eukaryotic large subunit ribosomal RNA", at positions 52 to 523 of the family's 3401-position model. The record is from RNAcentral. Lineage: Eukaryota; Fungi; Ascomycota; Pichiomycetes; Serinales; Debaryomycetaceae.